CGGGGCUCUCUUGUCGCGAUGGCCCAGCACCUCCUGCCCCUCCUCGUCCUCCUCCUGACCGCCGCCGCCUCCACCUGCAUCACGGCGCUCACGUCGGCGAGCCCGCCGCUGCCGGUGGCGUUCUUCUCCUUCUUCAUGUGGGGCCUGGCGUCGGCCGCGCUCGGCGUGCACCUGCCGCGCCUGGGGCGCGGCGGCGCCGAGUGAGCGAGCUCGCCGAUCGACGGCUGCCGGCCCACUCGCUCAUUCAUUAUCGAUGAGACGUGGCCAUGCUGGCAGCCGGCGUUCGCCGGCAGAUCGACCAACGCGUACGUCGACCUCGCCGGAGACCCAGCUGGAAUCCCACUUGCAAUUCACCGUCGUCAGAGGCCGCCGGGCCGGGCUGUAAGAGCUAUCCAGUUGGCUACAUGCCUACAUCACUCUCUAUUCUCUAAUCAAUAAACCUCUAGCAUUUAGUCAAUGCAUGUUCCACGCGCCAGAAGCUGAAGGAUCUUGUGGCUCGUUGAGUCGUCGUUGCAGUCGGAGACCCGCCAUUUCUCCUUACAAAGAAACGGACAGGGUCAACGAGUGGUUCAGGGCUCCAACCACCAAGAUCAUAUGGGUCUUGACGCGAUUGUGUAAUGAAAUUCUCCAUCUAUUAGUAGGAGAAUGUGCUUGUGUUGUACUGCGCUAAUAUAUUAUAAAGUGCUUGAACCCUUAUAUAUAUAUUUGUGCCCCCAGUUUGAUUGAUCGAAUUAUGACGACAUGCCGGACAUAUUUUGAUCUCUA
Setaria italica (foxtail millet) is the source of this 765-nucleotide long non-coding RNA. RefSeq lists it as uncharacterized. The record is from RefSeq and is a predicted model, not a curated record. The transcript is spliced from 2 exons. Lineage: Eukaryota; Viridiplantae; Streptophyta; Magnoliopsida; Poales; Poaceae.